ACGUAGGGCGCAAGCGUUGUCCGGAAUUAUUGGGCGUAAAGAGCUCGUAGGCGGUCUGUUGCGUCCGCUGUGAAAACUCGGGGCUUAACCCCGAGCCUGCAGUGGAUACGGGCAGACUAGAGGUAGGUAGGGGAGAACGGAAUUCCCGGUGUAGCGGUGAAAUGCGUAGAUAUCUGGAGGAACACCGGUGGCGAAGGCGGCAUCCUGGACCGGCAUUGACGCUGAGGCGCGAAAGCCAGGGGAGCAAACGGGA
This 253-nucleotide ribosomal RNA is filed under the name uncultured prokaryote. Its description in RNAcentral is "partial 16S ribosomal RNA". It matches the Rfam family "Bacterial small subunit ribosomal RNA", at positions 525 to 777 of the family's 1533-position model. The record is from RNAcentral.